RNAcentral lists this ribosomal RNA (727 nucleotides) under Microbacterium sp. ER-89. Its description in RNAcentral is "bacterial SSU rRNA". It matches the Rfam family "Bacterial small subunit ribosomal RNA", at positions 56 to 796 of the family's 1533-position model. Lineage: Bacteria; Bacillati; Actinomycetota; Actinomycetes; Micrococcales; Microbacteriaceae. The record is from RNAcentral.
UGCAAGUCGAACGGUGAAGCAGAGCUUGCUCUGUGGAUCAGUGGCGAACGGGUGAGUAACACGUGAGCAAUCUGCCCCUGACUCUGGGAUAAGCGCUGGAAACGGCGUCUAAUACCGGAUACGAGCUGCGAAGGCAUCUUCAGCAGUUGGAAAGAAUUUCGGUCAGGGAUGAGCUCGCGGCCUAUCAGCUUGUUGGUGAGGUAAUGGCUCACCAAGGCGUCGACGGGUAGCCGGCCUGAGAGGGUGACCGGCCACACUGGGACUGAGACACGGCCCAGACUCCUACGGGAGGCAGCAGUGGGGAAUAUUGCACAAUGGGCGCAAGCCUGAUGCAGCAACGCCGCGUGAGGGAUGACGGCCUUCGGGUUGUAAACCUCUUUUAGCAAGGAAGAAGCGAAAGUGACGGUACUUGCAGAAAAAGCGCCGGCUAACUACGUGCCAGCAGCCGCGGUAAUACGUAGGGCGCAAGCGUUAUCCGGAAUUAUUGGGCGUAAAGAGCUCGUAGGCGGUUUGUCGCGUCUGCUGUGAAAACUGGAGGCUCAACCUCCAGCCUGCAGUGGGUACGGGCAGACUAGAGUGCGGUAGGGGAGAUUGGAAUUCCUGGUGUAGCGGUGGAAUGCGCAGAUAUCAGGAGGAACACCGAUGGCGAAGGCAGAUCUCUGGGCCGUAACUGACGCUGAGGAGCGAAAGGGUGGGGAGCAAACAGGCUUAGAUACCCUGGUAGUCC